UUUCCGUAGGUGAACCUGCGGAAGGAUCAUUAUUGAAUGAAACACUUCUGGCUUUAUGCUGUUGUGCUGGCCCUUUGGGCAAUGUGCACACGGCUCUGGUCACAUGUUUCUUCUGUUCCACCUGUGCACUGCCUGUAGACACGCUGUGUCUAUGAUAUUUGUUAACACACAACAAUGUUAGUUGGCAUGUUAUAUAUAAUAAUAAAAUAUACAACUUUCAACAACGGAUCUCUUGGCUCUC
RNAcentral lists this unclassified non-coding RNA (241 nucleotides) under plant metagenome. Its description in RNAcentral is "partial contains small subunit ribosomal RNA, internal transcribed spacer 1, and 5.8S ribosomal RNA". The record is from RNAcentral.